Molecule: ribosomal RNA, 403 nt
Filed under: Verrucomicrobiota bacterium
Lineage: Bacteria; Pseudomonadati; Verrucomicrobiota
Description: Verrucomicrobia bacterium partial 16S ribosomal RNA
Rfam family: Bacterial small subunit ribosomal RNA
Source: RNAcentral
UGGGGAAUAUUGCACAAUGGGGGAAACCCUGAUGCAGCGACGCCGCGUGAGCGAUGAAGGCUUUCGAGUCGUAAAGCUCUGUCCUAUGGGAAGAUAAUGACGGUACCAUAGAAGAAAGCCCCGGCUAAUUACGUGCCAGCAGCCGCGGUAAUACGUAAGGGGCGAGCGUUGUCCGGAAUUAUUGGGCGUAAAGAGUGCGUAGGCGGCAAAUUAAGUCAGAUGUGAAAACUAAGGGCUCAACCCAUAGAUUGCAUCUGAACUGAUAUGCUUGAGUCAAGGAGAGGAAAGUGGAAUUCCUAGUGUAGCGGUGGAAUGCGUAGAUAUUAGGAGGAAUACCGGUGGCGAAGGCGACUUUCUGGACUUGAACUGACGCUGAGGCACGAAAGCGUGGGGAGCAAACAGG